Molecule: non-coding RNA, 55 nt
Organism: Azospirillum brasilense
Lineage: Bacteria; Pseudomonadati; Pseudomonadota; Alphaproteobacteria; Rhodospirillales; Azospirillaceae
Source: Rfam
UUACCAGGCCGGGCCCCUCUGACAGUUCCCUGAACUGUGAUGUCGGACUGGAGAC